Molecule: unclassified non-coding RNA, 312 nt
Organism: Panthera pardus (leopard)
Lineage: Eukaryota; Metazoa; Chordata; Mammalia; Carnivora; Felidae
Gene: 7SK
Rfam family: 7SK RNA
About the family: 7SK was discovered as an abundant small nuclear RNA in the mid-70s but a possible function has only recently been suggested. Two independent studies have found that 7SK RNA binds the CDK9/cyclin T complex (known as elongation factor P-TEFb). P-TEFb activates transcription by phosphorylating the C-terminal domain of RNA polymerase II.
Source: Ensembl
UGAUGUGAGAACGAUCUGGCUGUGGUAUCUGUCACCCCAUUGAUUGCCAAGGUUGAUUUGGUUGAUCUGUCUGGCCAGGUGGGUAUCCAUUUUCUCCCUCACCAUUCUACGUGUUCUCUCCUGAAGCUGAACAUAGCUCCAAGAAGACAACUUGUCCUGGUAGAGGACCAUUUUUCAGGUAGCUGAGCUCCCCUGCUAGAUCCUAUAAACAAGCUCUCCAGGUCCAUUUGUAGGAGAAGGUAGACUAAUAAAGCUUCCAAGACUCCAGACACAUCCAAAUGAGGUGCUGCAGGUGGCAGUCUGCCUUUAUUA